AGCGCAGGUGAUGAUAAAACAGGGACUUCAGCGCUCCUUUGGAGGAUGUUGACUUCUGUCUUGGUAUCUCUCUGAUGCACA
This is a small nucleolar RNA of Macadamia integrifolia, 81 nucleotides long. RefSeq annotates it as small nucleolar RNA R44/J54/Z268 family. The transcript has a single exon. The record is from RefSeq and is a predicted model, not a curated record. NCBI's taxonomy places the organism in Eukaryota, Viridiplantae, Streptophyta, Magnoliopsida, Proteales, Proteaceae.